CCCUUAGAUGUCCUGGGCCGCACGCGCGUUACACUGAUGCAUUCAACGAGCUUAUAACCUUGGCCGAGAGGCCUGGGCAAUCUUGUUAACGUGCAUCGUGAUAGGGAUAGAUUAUUGAAAUUAUUAAUCUUGAACGAGGAAUUCCUAGUAAACGCAGAUCAUCAAUCUGCAUUGAUUACGUCCCUGCCCUUUGUACACACCGCCCGUCGCUACUACCGAUUGAAUGGUUUAGUGAGGACUCCUGAUUGGCGCCGCCGCCCCGGCAACGGAGCAGCGGACUGCCGAAAAGUUGUUCAAACUUGAUCAUUUAGAGGAAGUAAAAGUCGUAACA
Molecule: ribosomal RNA, 331 nt
Filed under: uncultured eukaryote
Lineage: Eukaryota
Description: partial 18S ribosomal RNA
Rfam family: Eukaryotic small subunit ribosomal RNA
Source: RNAcentral